GCGAUAGGUUCUCGUAGGUGACCUGCCAGGGUCAUU
RNAcentral lists this ribosomal RNA (36 nucleotides) under Schizothyrium qianense. RNAcentral describes it as "partial 18S ribosomal RNA". Lineage: Eukaryota; Fungi; Ascomycota; Dothideomycetes; Mycosphaerellales; Schizothyriaceae. The record is from RNAcentral.